AAUAAUUUCAACCGGAAGUGACCGCUGAACUCCCACCUGACAUGACGCUAAGUGUAACAACAAUGGCGGCCACACUAGUCCCCGCACAUCUACCAUGAAGCGGUCUUGUUUUGGGGGUUCAGUCAGAAAGUUACCGUUAUGUUCUGGAACUCGGCAGCCCAGCGGGCCGGCGUUGUCCGGUCCUGGUGUCGAACCGCCGGCCUUAUCAGGCGCCGUCAGUCACUCUUCACCUCCGCCAAGUUGACCCGAGAAGACGUCGAGGUGAGCCGGACACUGAGGGAGUGUUCCCUGGCGGUGAGCCCCUUCAGCACGGUGCGAGCGCGGCUUGGGUGCAGUAUAUCCAUCCAGCCUGUGGACCCGCAUGCCUUCCCUGAAGCCGACCGAGCCUUCGUCACUAUCCGCGGAGGGAAGUCGCCAAGCGGCGAGGAGGAGGGUGUGGAUGACUUUGACGUCCAUUACGACGAAGACGGCAAGGAGCUGCUCAUCUUGGCCGAGAGGGACGACAGCAGCCUGUCGGUUCAUGUGUCUGCUCCCAUUAAGAGUAAUAUCGUCAUUAACACCCGUGGGAAAGGCAACGUGGAGGUGAAGAAUAUGGAGUGUGACAUCUGCCAGGUGCACACAGAAAAAGGCACAUGUUCACUGCACUCCGUCAAGGGUCAUCAAGUGGAGGUGCGCUCGGGUGGAGACGUCAGCGUGGGCACCGUCCACGGCAACGUGGACAUCAGCGCUUCCGGAGACAGUGCGGUUCGUGUCAAGAAGCUGCAGGGCACCACCAUGAGGGUCUCCACGGAACAUGGCGGUCUGAGGGUCAAGGCCAUCUAUGCCGAGUCCAGCUGCAUCUCAUCCAGCACGGGGGACGUGGAACUUGGACUCGUGCACGGGGACGCCUCAGUGAAGAACACAUCAGGGGACACACACAUAGACGGUUCAAAUGGCUCCUUGAAGGUUUCCUCUCAAACCGGGGUCAUUGACGUCUACGUGGGAGACGGAGGAAGCGCCGAGGUGCUCAGCCAGGAAGGAGCGGUGUGCGUACGCGUGCCGUCCUCGCUGAGAGCAGAGGUGGAGCUCACUGGCGCGUCGGUGCACAUCGGCCGUGAUAUGACGUUGCAUCAGCUGCAGAGGAACACCACGGAGAGCCACACCCAAGUUACUGGCUACAUGAACACUGACAGUUCGGCGGCGCAGCGGAUCAAAGUGACGACAAAAAGUGGCUCGGUCAGCCUGAAGACACAAAGCUGGUUCGAGUCCCUGAAGCUGGGGGGAUAAAAAAAAAAGCUCUGGAAACUCUGUGGAAACACUCCCCACCCACAGUGCUUGGUGCCUCGUCUGAGCUGCUGUGACUUAGAUCAGUGGUCCCCAACCUCUUUGUAACUGCGGACCGGUCAACGCUUGAACAUUUUUCCCACGGACCGGGGGGGUCGGGGGGAUGCCGUUGCAGUCGUUCAUGAUGACGGAAGACAGCGGCGGGCAGAGCCUCUCGAUGUAUUUGAUGGCGCGGUCGGUGAAGAGGGAGCCGCUCACGUCCAACUCCCGCAGCCUCCCAUCUUCAGCGUGAACAGACCUCUGCAGUAGAAGACGAAGGCUCUGAUGGCCUGGUCAGACAGCGCCAGACAGCCGGACACGUCCACGUACUCCAGCUCGGCCACGUACUUGCACAGGUUCUGCUCACAUUCAAUCAACGGCUGAAUGACGGAUGGUUAGCCCGCUAAAAAGUAAGAAAUGGUGGUCAUGUCUUGGACGUGAGAGGCGUGUGAAGCUUACUUGUUUCCGAUCACGUUGACGGCCGAGUCUGUGAUCAGACAGCAGUGACUCACACUCAGCUUCUGCAACUUGCACGCCCAGGCGCUCUCGGCCAGGUGCUGGAUCCCCUUGUCCGUCACUCUGAAAGCAGCCAGGCGUCACCAACCCGUCACCCGCUCCCGAUCCCAGAACGAGGGCCACACAGACUUGGUACAGAGCGAGAUGUCCAAGGUCUGCAGGUUCCGCAGGGAAAGCAAACACUUGAGGCCCACGUCGGUCAUCCUCAGGCAGUCGACCACAUGGAGGGUGCGCAGGCUCCGUGAGCUGCAGCACAGCAACUUCCAGCUCACGUGGCUCACAUGCUUGUUCCCUGGAGGCGGCACACAAAAUGAGCCGGGGGGGAGAGACACAAGGUCACUGCUCGCAGGGUUCUCACCCUCAAUGAUGAAAGUCUUCAGUUUGGCCACGUCGGCGAUGGCUGUCAUGCCGACGUCUGUCAGGUUCCUGGCCUCCACCAGCGAGAUGGAGGUCAGGUGGUGACAUUUGGACAUCAAGGCCUGGAAUGUGUGAACAUCUUAUGGUCACAUGACAACAACAAUAGUAGUGAGGAAUACACCGUAGGGCUGUCAUCUUUGGGCAACAAAUCCAUUCUCCAUUCAAAGACUUUUUUAAUACCAUUGGAUGCCAUCUUUAUAAUAAUA
RNA transcript from Entelurus aequoreus (snake pipefish), 2441 nucleotides. It is a transcript of the gene named protein FAM185A-like, with no coding region annotated. The transcript is spliced from 12 exons. The record is from RefSeq and is a predicted model, not a curated record. Lineage: Eukaryota; Metazoa; Chordata; Actinopteri; Syngnathiformes; Syngnathidae.